GGAAAUAAAGAGACUGAAACAACUUCAUCAAGCACCUGGAAUUGGUUAGUAAUAGGCUGUGUAAUUUUUUCCUGCAUAGCGCUGCCAGCACAGUCCAAACCUGCUUACUUGCAAUGUUCAUUUUCACUUAAGGGCAGUCCAGAGUGGCACACCAAAGUAUUUCUGAUGCCAGAACUUCACCAUCAGAGACAGCAGUCCUCUUCCCUGGCCUGGACAAGAUCCCCAAGGUACAUAUCAGAAAUGAAGGCUGUCCUCAAGCUGCCACAAAACUGGAAGUGGAGAAUGAUACAAGAGUAAGUCAAAUCACCACAAACCUCUCUUAUCAACAGUCAGCUAUUUUCCUUGAUUUAGAGUUUUUCUCAUUAUUGUAAGCUUUUGAUUAGACUCCAGAUUUCUAAAAAAAGGUGAUUCUGACAGUUUUUACGUCUGUUCAUUGCUUUUGUGGAAAGAUGGACUUUCAGAAUUUUCUCCUUUACCAUUUCUACUAAUGUCAUCCUGUUUUUCAGUACUUUCGAGAAUUUUUUUUUUUUUUUUUUUUUUUACAAUUUGAAGUCAAAUUUAUCAAUUUUUCCUUUUAUGUUUCUUUUAAGUUUUGGCUUUUAUGCACAUUUAGAAA
This 616-nucleotide long non-coding RNA is filed under the name Pan troglodytes (chimpanzee). RNAcentral describes it as "lncRNA (ENSPTRG00000052901.1)". Lineage: Eukaryota; Metazoa; Chordata; Mammalia; Primates; Hominidae. The record is from RNAcentral.